GUCUGCUUUAUCUCAGGUCUGGCUUCCUGCCAGGUGUUGUGGUUGUCACCAUCACUCAGGGCAACAGGCUGCCUUGUUCCCAUUUGGGUAUAAGACAAGAAAAACUUCCUGCAGUCCCUAAAGGAAAGUCUGAAGCCAGACAAGGCCUACAGCUCCGGUAGCCACGGAGACAGGAGGCGUGGUGCUGCGCUGGUGGCUUGGAUCCAUCAGAGCCCACCUGGGAGGUCCCAACCUGCCUCACAAUGGGGGAAGAUGGAUAGACGCCGAGAACAGGAGCUCAACAGGCACCAUAGGAUCAUAAACCUCAUUUACAGCAACCAGCAGAGGCCUGGCCAGGGCGCCUAGGGAAAGGCCCAGCAGACUGAAUUGUCCACAGCUGGCAGUCCCAAGGAAUGACUCACACUCCCGGAAAGAUGCCUGCCUGUCCCCACCAACCCAGCCACUCACCAGGUCACCGCCUGCAAGUUUUAGGAAUCUCUGCUAUUUGGAGGACUCCGCUGUGAGGAACAAACAGGUCCAGCUGCCCACAGACCCAUUGUUCACUGGGGGAGAUGAGAGGGUUUGCCUGGCCCUGAGGCGGUUGGGGAAGGAAGGGCUGGAGGUGGAAGAGAGACCUCAGCUGAGGGAGGCGCCUUUCUGGAGGGCCAGGAAAGUUGGGCCUGGGAGGCUUCCUGCAGGAGAGAGGGAUGCAUUCCUCCCAUUCCUUAAGGGUGAAUUUCUAAGGGUAGGAUUUCAAGGGUAGUAAAUAAAAAGGGCAGGUGGAAUAUCUAUUUAUUUAUUCAUUUAUUUCCCUUAGUCCAUUCCACGGUUAAUCUGCUUACUCUACAUCAGCUGGAGCCUCCAAGGUGGGGGUGCUAGUCUACCCAGACUGCCAUUACAAAAUACCACAGCCCGGGCCCUGGGGUACUGGGGAUUGACCCCAGGAGUGCUCUACUGCUAAGCCACAUCCUCAGGCUUUUUUUCCCCAUCUUUUAUUUUAAGACAGGGUCUCCAUAAAUUGCCAAGGCUGGCCUCAAACUUGUAAUCCUCCUGCCUCAGCCUCUGGAGUCUCUGGGAUUAUAGGUGUAGUCACCAUGCCCAGCCAGGCUGGGUCCUCCUUACACAGCCUAAAUUUACAUGUCAUGGUUUGGGAGGCUGGAAGUCCAAGACAGAGAUAACAGCAAGGUAAGUUUCAUCCUGAGAUCACUCCUCUUGGCUUAGAGGUAGCAGCCAUCUUGCCGGUGCCUGCUUGGCCUCUUCUGUGAGGAAGAGAGAAAGGAUAAGGCAGUGGGGAGAAGAAGACAGAGUGGGAACACCCACACUGCUCCUUUAGGUGACUCUCACUAAUCCCACUGAUUCAGGGCCCCCACCCUUAACAGUCUCUUUUAACUACUUACAUCCUUAAAAGGUCUAUCUCCAAAGACAGUUACAUUGAGGAUUAGGACAUCAACAUAGGGAAUCUGGGGGAGAUGAUUCAGUCUAUAGCAGUGGGCUUCUCAGCUCAGGCCCAAAGAACCAUACAGGGGCUUACAGGGUUAUCCAGGGGAACUGGGCCCAAGUGGCAGAAGGUAAAGAACGACCCAUCAGUCCCCCUACUGCACCUACAUUCCUGCUCAUAGUUCAGGGCUUUGACCUGGGGGAGGCAGAGGAAGCCCUGCUUCUUAUCUUAGGCCUCUGGAGACCCAGGAUUGGGAAAGAAGGAGACUGGGUCCAAUUGGCCCAUGAGGCUGGCCAAGGGGUUCCCUGGGAAUCAGACACAGAGAAGCAGCAAUGACUCAGGUGACCAUGGACUCGAUGCAGCUCCCUCCCCAGAGCAUCUUCCAGGGGCACAGGUGGCCUCCUGGGCAUCUCCUCUCAGCUGUGUCUGCAGCAACUUCUGUUCACUGUCCUCUGCUCUUCACCGUGUCAGGCACCAUGUGGCCUCUGCAGGUUGACUGUGAACAAAGGCAGAGGAGCCCUGCUGUCAUGGAGUUCACAUCUGAGUGAGUCCGGCAGCAGCCAUUAGAACAAUAAAGAAGUUGAGAAGUAACAGUCAAGGCUACUGGUUGGUCAGGAGAAAGUAUGAUGUAAGGCGGGAAAGACAAAGUAGUGGAUGUGCAAGGAGGUGAGCUAUUUUUGCUCUGGGCUCAGGGAAGUCUUCUAGAGAGAAGACACUGGGCAGAGAGAGACCUAAAUGGAGGAAGGAAGUAGGCAUGUAGAUUUAAGGAGAAGAGCAUUUCAAGAAGGAACCGCAAGCAUGGUGGUUCCAAGGCCAGAGGAACUAGGCAUGUGUGAGCCAUAAGAAGAAGGUCAAAGGGCCUGAGGGGGGAGCAAGGAGAGCCCCAUGGUGAAUGGGGCUGAGGGGGUCUGCAGAGCCAAAUUACAGGGGCCUGUGGGGCUCACCUUCUUCUCUGCGUCUGACAGGAGGCCAUGAAAGUUUGGGACAGAGGAGUGAUGUAACCUGACAGGCUGACAAGGAUUGCUCUGCUAUGUGGAAACAGAGGACCCGUGGGGAGCAGGGAGAGCCAGGGUCAACUGCAGUAGGUCAGGGGGAAGAGGCAACAGGGGAUUUGCUUUGGGGGUGGCUAUAAGGGAUGGAUCAAGAGCCACGUAUUGUACUUUGAAAGUUGAGCUGAAGGUAGAGUGGCGGUGUCCUGUGAGGGGCAAGGAGUCAAGUUCAACUCCUAAGUCAUUGGUGUGAGCUUCUGAGUGAUGGUAGUGGCGAGGGGGAGUUCAAAUUCUGUUGGGACCUUUGAAGUUCAAAGAGCCUGUAACCACCCCAGUGGAGGUGCUGAGUCUCCGUGAGUCUGGAGCUGAGGAAGGCGCGGUGGCUGGUCAGGCUGGAGGAACGCAUUUCAUCUGCUUUUACGUGGGACCUGCUUCAGGGGAGAGAAGGGAAUCCCUGGGGAAACACACAGCAGGGUAAGAGGUGGGAGGACCUCCAACAUGGGGAGGUCAGAAAGAGGAGGCCCAACCAGCCUAAGAUACGGAAGAAGAAGAUUCGCUAUGGUGGCAAGUGCACACAGAGAGGACAGCUCAAGUGUUGGUGAGUGAGGUGAGAGACGAACAACCUGGCUCAUGAAAUCUGGAGAAUUGACGACUGGGCCCCUCAGAGGGUGGUAGGGACCAAGGCCGGAGAAGAGCCUGGGUGGGGACAGGACAGGAAAUGGAGAUGCAGAACAGGCAAGUUAAUUGGGGGAUUUUGCUGUAAAAGACAACAGAGAAAGAAACAAUGCCCCAGCUAGAGGAACAUGCCAGGACCAGCAGGUUGGUCACCAAGGGCCUCUCUAUGAGGUUUCAGAGCUGCAGAGCAGCCUGUGGGAUGCUGUCAGUCAGGAGUAGGUGUGUCCUCCCUGAGAGGGGACUUUAAGGCAUGAAGGUAUCAAGGACUUGGUAGGGGAUAGUGGGCCUCUGCCAGAAGUCUUUCUUUCUUUUUUUUUUGGUGGGAGGGGGGUACCAGGGAUUGAACUCAGGGGCACUCCACUGAGCCACAUCCCCAACCCUAUUUUGUAUUUUAUUUAGAGACAGGGUCUCACUGAGUUGCUUAGCAUCUCCCUAUUUUCUUGCAAUCCUCCUUUCUCAGCCUCCAGGGCUGCUGGGAUAAUAGGCGUGUGCUACUGUGCCAGCCAGAACUCUUUCUUGCCAGCCUGAAAUUCCACCAUCACUGUUUUUGCCAGCUGGAUUUGUUAGAAUCAUGGAGACUGGAAAUGUAACUCAGGGGUAGAGCAUUUGCCUCACAUGCACAAGGCCCUGGGUUCAAUUCCCAGAGCCAUGGGGAAAAAGAAAGAAACAAACAAACAAACAAAAAUACAAUCAUGGAAUAGUAACUAAAACAAACAAACAAACAAAAAAAAAAACCAAAAAAACCACCUACCUGUAGUCCUACCCCUGAUCACCAGCUAAGUGCAGCUGAAGUGACAGCUGGGAUGGCAAGACCCAAAAGUAAGGAUGAGCUCUAGGUAGAGCCCCCGUGGCCUGUGGCUGAACCAGCCUGGGUAUCAGAUCAGAAAGGAUAUCCUGACUGAGGCAGCAGGUACACGCAGGACACAGGACAUUGGAAACAGUUUGAAACCUCAUGACCAGGGACUCUACUUUCUGCUAGCUAAUGUAUUAAUUUACAAACCCAUUGGCUAUCGCUGGGGACUGGUGACUGGUGACACAAAGCAGCUUGUGGACCUUUGGCAGGAAGGAGCCUUCUGGUUGUCUCAGUUGGAAGAUGACUCCCCCCAAUUCUGUGUGUAAAUACGAGGGUGACCUUUGCAUUCAGGAAGAGGAUAUACUAGUUAGGACACCUCUAGCCAGAGUCACAGUGACCCUUGUUAGUCAAAAUGUGAUCCCUUGAUGCCUAGCAUGCACUAUAUUUUUAUCAGGGAAAAAAACUUCCAGAGGGUCCCUUGGUUCUCAUUGAGCAAAAUAGAUCACCUUUAGCAGCAAGGAAGUUUGCAAAAAUGAACUUUUGUUCUUUUCAUUUUCUAUGGUAGCUGGGGAUAUAGCUCAGUUGGUAGAGUGCUUCCUACUUCACAUGCACAAGGUCCUGGGUUAAAACCUCACCACCACCAAAAAAAAAAUGGCAGAUUUACUUUGGGGCUGGGGUUGUGGCUCAGUAGAGCACUUGCCUAGCACAUGCAAGGGUCUGGGUUUGAUCCUCAGCACCACAUAAAAUAAAUAAACAAAGAUUUUGUGUCUAACUACAAUUUUAAAAAAAAUUUUUAAUUAAAAAAAAAAGCAACUCAUGGACAAGCAGCCUAGAAAGGGCUAUUAAGUAGCCAGUUAUCAGUGGGUGCCAUAAAAUACACACAGGAGAUGGAAAUGCACAUGUGGCAAACUUGACAAAUUAAAUUAUUUAUCAGUUAACCGUUUAAUAGAGGAAACAGGAAAGAUCAGGAUCUUCUAUUAGUUUUCUGUUGUUAGUUGAUUUUGAUCUAGUAUUUUUCUGGUUAAUUGAUUUGCUUUUUGUUUCUUCAGAUAAAAAUAUUCAAAAGAUUUUCUUUGAAGCCCAGAAUUUGCAUUUGAAUGUAAAUUUUGUGUAUUGUACCUUGAUCAAUGUUGCAAAACUCAGUAAAGACAUAGGUGAAGAGAUUAAAAAGCAAGGUAAUAGAACAUAUUUAUAAAUGCUUUUCAAAUUAAUAAAUGUGUCUGGAUGCCGUGGCACAUGCCUGUAAUCUCAGCAGCUCAGGAGGCUGAGUCAGGAGGAUCUGCAAGUUCAAAGUCAGCCUCAGCAAUUUAGCAAGGUCCUAAGCAACUUAGUGAAUCUCUGUUUCACAAUAAAAAUAAAAAAGGGCUAGAGAUAUGGCUCAAUGGUUAAUUAAAUUCCCCUGGGUUCAAUCCUUGGUCUCCAAAAGUAAAAUAAAACAAAGCAAAGUAAUAAAUUGUUAUCCAAAGCUGCUAUAUUAUAAAAACCACUUAAUACAGAAAUUUUUACAAUACAAUCAUGGUUGUAUUUCAGAAGCAGUCACCACUUAGCUGCUUAGAAAAGAAAUGGAAAUAACUUAAGUGAGCAAUGACAGGGGAUUGGUUGGAUGACACAGUCAUACAAUGAAAUGCUAUACAACCAUAAAAAUAGUUGUUUUUGAUGGUAUUUAGUAUCAUGAGAAAAUGUUAAAAAUAUAUUAUUAAGUAAGAUAAUUACAUGCCUGUAAUCCCAACAAAUUGGGAAGCUAAGGCAAGAGGAUCAUAAGUUCAAGCCCACCCCUCAGCAACUGAGUGAGACUCCAUCUCAAGAAAAAAAAAAGCAACAUA
Marmota monax (woodchuck) is the source of this 5697-nucleotide long non-coding RNA. RefSeq lists it as uncharacterized. The transcript has 3 exons. The record is from RefSeq and is a predicted model, not a curated record. NCBI's taxonomy places the organism in Eukaryota, Metazoa, Chordata, Mammalia, Rodentia, Sciuridae.